ACGCUCGACACCUACGGGAGGCAGCAGUCGGGAAUAUUGCGCAAUGGAGGAAACUCUGACGCAGUGACGCCGCGUGCAGGAAGAAGGUUUUCGGAUUGUAAACUGCUUUAGACAGGGAAGAAAGAAAUGACAGUACCUGUAGAAUAAGCUCCGGCUAACUACGUGCCAACAGCCGCGGUAAUCUGAGCGGCUGGCAAGGC
RNAcentral lists this ribosomal RNA (200 nucleotides) under uncultured bacterium. Its description in RNAcentral is "partial 16S ribosomal RNA". It matches the Rfam family "Bacterial small subunit ribosomal RNA", at positions 328 to 539 of the family's 1533-position model. The record is from RNAcentral.